GAUUUCUUUUUAUUUAUCAUAUGCACACAGUAGUAUCAUGCUCUAUUUUUACCUGUGUUUCGUAGGUUAAUUCAGUCAAUGGUUUUAGUGAUACAUGAGUUGUGAUAAAAGCUGUGUAAAAUGGAUUUCAACCAAAAAACUAUUCACUUACUAUAUAACUAUAUUUUAUUCUGCAGCUGUAUUACCUUAAGCUUAACACAGAGUGGCAGUGGUGUGGUUUCUUUGCUGUUGGUUUUCUUGCAAUUAAAUUAGGUGAAUAGACUAUUUGUUAUCUAAGUUUAAGAAAAUAAAAUUCAUUACUUUCUUUGAUUUGUAAUGUGAAUAAACAAGUCCAGUUUAAUAGAUGCUUAAUAGAUGCCAACAAAUGAGUUAUAUUGUAUCUACUCAUUCAUCGUUGUUUCCCCUUCUUCUUUUUUUAUGCCUCUUUCUCUAUUAAAAAUUUCAUUAAUUAUUUUAUAUGUACUUCGAACUUGAAGACUGUCUGUACUCAACAAGUUGGGGAGACAUUUGUGCUCUGAGAAAUACUGAGAGCGAAGUAGAGAUCCAUAGCAAGAUUUGGAUAAGGUUUGGGAGGGAUCUUUCAGCAAAAGAAGAGAUCAUGUUGUUCAAGUAAAGGACGGUGCAUGUAGUUGAUGUUGGAUAAAGACAGGUGGGGAACUAGAUUUGAUUCCAUGGCUAAACAAAUCAAAAUUUAACUCACCAAUAAUCGCUUCAACUUUAUACGUUUGACACCAUGGCUGCACAGACUAAGUUCCGGGAAUAGUGGGAAGACGAGUUUGUAUCAAUAUGUUGGCUGUAGAAACCAAGUUCCUGCACACACUAUAUGUGGCAUGUUUAAUUUGGAACAACGUAGUUGUAUCAGCUUUUGAUGUCCCA
Rosa rugosa (rugosa rose) is the source of this 876-nucleotide long non-coding RNA. RefSeq lists it as uncharacterized. NCBI's taxonomy places the organism in Eukaryota, Viridiplantae, Streptophyta, Magnoliopsida, Rosales, Rosaceae. The transcript has 3 exons. The record is from RefSeq and is a predicted model, not a curated record.